Molecule: small nucleolar RNA, 133 nt
Organism: Rattus norvegicus (Norway rat)
Lineage: Eukaryota; Metazoa; Chordata; Mammalia; Rodentia; Muridae
Product: small nucleolar RNA SNORA48
Source: Ensembl
AUUCCCUGGCAUUAGGCAGAGACACCUUGGUGGUGGUGGUGUUUUAUAUUAGUCAGGGGCAGAUAGCAGUCCUCUGUUCAUCCCAGCUUGCCUGACAUGGUGACCCAAGCUGUCUCAGGCAUAGGACUCACAA